Molecule: small RNA, 5708 nt
Filed under: Pan troglodytes (chimpanzee)
Lineage: Eukaryota; Metazoa; Chordata; Mammalia; Primates; Hominidae
Description: sense overlapping
Source: RNAcentral
AAAAUGUUUAAAUUCACUUGAAACUAGGCGUAUGCAAAUUAAAACCACUCAGAUACCAUUUAUCACUUUCCAGACUCCAUGAAAUGUAAAAAUAUGGCAAUACAUUCUGUUGGGAAGGCUGUGGGAAAAUAGGUACAUUCAUACAUUGCUGAUGGGAAUGCAAAAGUUUAUUAGUUGCAAUAUUGUUCUUAGUUGCAAAGUAUUGGAAGCAACCUAAAUUCCCAUCCACAGGAGAGUGAUUUAAUAAACUAUAGCGUGUCAUGCAGUGGAAUAUUAAAUAGGUAUAAGAAAAGAAUGAGGAAGACCUCUAUGAACUAAUAUGGAGUGAUUUCCAAGAUGGACUGUCAAAUGAAAAAAGCAAAGCACAAAAGAGUAUCCAUAGCAUGCUACCUUCAUGUAGGAAAGAAAGGAUAUAGAAAGUAAAUAGUUAUCUGCUCAUUUGUUCAAAAGAAAUACAGGAAAGAUAAAAUACUAGUAAGGCUGAUUACCUAGAGGGAAAGGAAUAAAGAAGGAAAUGAGGUUAGCAAGGAUGAAGUACAGUAACAUUUCUUUUACUAUAUCUUUCUGUAUAGCUCUGACCCUUGGAAUCAUAAUUAUGUCUCACAUACCCUUCACAUAAUCCCAAAUAAAUAAAUGAUAAAACCAACCAAGAAGUGUGGGAAACCCUAAAUGGAAUACAAAUACUAACAAAUGAAAGUAAAUGUAUUAAGAAUGAAUAACAACCACAGUUAAGCAAGUGAGGAAGAAAAUAACUAGGUAACUCUAAGUAUCUUUUCUGGGCACUAAAGGCUAAUGACAAAAAGAAUGGUACUAAAGUGCUGUAAUCUAGUUAGUAAAAGGGUUUCUUGCAGGGGUAUGAAUUAGUGCUACUGAAGCUACCUUUACAUGUACAUUAGAAUUGAACAACUAAGUACAUAUAUAGUAGAUAAUAAGAGCCAGGUUUCUCACUGUUGGAGAAAGACUUAUUAAAAGAAAGGAGGUAGGCCAAAAUACACCCUGUAAUGUUGGAUUGGAGUAAGAGGUGUCAGUAUAAAUUAAUGGUUCUUAAUAUAAAUGUAGACAGAUUAAGAAAUAUACAUGUGACUAUAUCUGUGGCAUAGUAUAUACAUUUAUACAUUUCCUAACUCUUAAAGGGCCUAGAAGCAGUGAAACUUCAGAGUAAUGAGCACAUUUAACACCAGAUCUUGUUUUUUAUCUUCUUUUUUUACUUUAAACUUUUUAUUUUUAAUUUUUGUGAGUACAUAGUAGGUGUAUAUAUUCAUGGAAUACAUGAGAUAUUUUAAUAUAGGCAUGUAAUGAGAAAUAAUCACAUCAUGAAGAAUAGGGUACCCACCUUUUCAAACAUUUAUCCUUUGUGUUACAAGAAAUCCAGUUACACUCUUCUAGUUAUUUUAAAAUGUUCAAUCAAGUUAUUGUUGACUAGAGUCAUGCUAUUGUGCUAUCACAUAGUAGGUCUUAUUCAUUCUUUCUAUUUUUAUGUAUCCAUUAACAAUCCCUACCUCCCCCUCCAGUGCCCAACUACCCUUCCCAGCCUCUGGUAACUAUCCUACUAUCUCCAUGAGUUCAAUUGUUUUGAUUUUUAGAUCUCAUAAAUAAGUGAGAACAUACAAUGUUUGUCUUUCUGUGUCUGGCUUAUUUCACUUAACAUAAUAACCUCCAGUUCCAUCCAUGUUGUUGCAAAUGACAGGGUGUCAUUCUUUUAAUUACUGAAUAGUACUCCAUUGUGUAAAUGCACUACAUUUUAUUUAUCCAUUCAUUUGUUGAUAGACACUUAGGUUGCUUCCAAAUCUUGCCUAUUGUGAACAUUGUGGCAACAAACAUGGAAGUUCAGAUAUCUCUUCAAUAUACUGAUUUCUUUUUUUGGAGGGUACAUACCCAGCAGCGGGAUUUCUGGAUAUAUGGUAGCUCUAUUUUUAUUUUUUUCAGGAACCUCCAAACUGUUCCCAAUAGUAGUUGUACUAAUGUACAUUCCCACCAACAAUGUAGGAGAGUUCCCCUUGUCCACAUCCUAGCCAGCAUUUGUUAUUGCCUGUCUUUUGGAUAAAAACCAUUUUAACUGGGGAGAAAUGAUAUCUCAUUGUAGUUUUGACUUGCAUUCUCUGAUGAUCAGUGAUGUUGAACACAUUUUCAUAUGCCUGCUUGCUAUUUGUAUGUCUUCUUUUGAGAAAUGUGUAUUCAAAUCUUUUGCUAAUUUUUUAUCAGAUUUUUUUUUUCCUGUUGAGUUGUUAGAGCUCCUUACGUAUUCUGGUUUUUAAUCCCUUGUCAGAUGGGUAGUUUGCAAAUAUUUUGUCCCAUUCUGGAGGUUGUCUCUUCACUUUGUUGAUUGUUUCCUUUGCUGUGCAGAAGCUUCUUAACUUGAUGUGAUCCCAUUUGUCCGUUUUUGCUUUGGUUAUCUGUGUUUGUAGGGUAUACUCAAGAAAUUUUUGCUCAGACGAAUGUCCUGGAGAUUUUCAUCAAUGUUUUCUUAUAGUAGUUUCAUCGUUUGAGGUCUUAGAUUUAAUCCUUUAGUCUACUUUGUAUAUUACUUUUGUAUAUGGCGAGAAAUAGGAGUCUAGUUUCAUUCUUCUGCAUGUGGAUAUCCAGUUUCCCAGAACUAUUUACUGAAGAGACUGUCUUUUCCCCAGUAUAUUUUCUUGGCAUCUUUGUCAAAAAUGAGUUCACUGUAAAUUCACUGUAAAUGUGUGGAUUCGUUUCCAGGUUCUCUGUUCUGUUCCCUGGGUCUGUCUGGUUUUAUGCCAAUGCCAUGCUGUUUUGGUUAUUAUAGUCCUGUGGCAUAAUUUAAAGUCAGGUAAUAUGAUUCCUCCAGUUUUGUUCUUUUUGCUUAAGAUAGCUUUGGCUCUUCUUGGUCUUUUGUGGUUCCAUAUAAGUUUUUGGAUAGUUUUUUUUUUCUAUUUCUGUGAUGAAUGUCAUUGGUACUUUGAUAGGGAUUGCAUUGAAUCUAUAGAUUGCUUUAGGUAGUUUGGACAUUUUUAACAAUAUUGAUUCUUUUGCUCCAUGAACGUGGAAUUUUUAUUUUGGUGUUCUCUUCAAUUUCUUUCAUCAGUGUUUUAUAGUUUUUAUUAUAGAGAUCUUUCACUUCUUUGAUUAAUUCCUAGAUAUUUAAUUUUAUUUGUAGCUAUCGUAAAUGGGAUUACUUUUUUCAUUUCUUUUUCAGAUUGUUCACUGUUUGCAUAUAGAAAUGCUACUGAUGUUGAUUUUUUAUGUUGUUUUUGUAUCCUGGAACUUUACUGAUUUUUAAAAUUAGUUCUAAUAGUUUUUUGGUGGAGUCUUUAAGCUUUUUGACUAUAAGAUCAUAUCAUCUGCAAACAAAAAUAAUUUGACCUCUUCCUGUCCAAUCUGGAUGCCCUUUAUUUCUUUCUCUUGGCUGACUUUUCUAGCUAGAACUUCCAGUACUAUGCUGAAUAACAGUGGUGAAAGUGGGCAUCCUUAUUGUGUUCCAGAUCUUAGAGGAAAGGCUUUCAGUUAUUCCCCAUUCAGUAUGAUACUAGCUAUGGGACCAUCAUAUAUGGCUUUUUUAAAUGGUGAAGUGUGUUCCUUCUAUCCCAAGUUCUUUGAGGGUUUUUGUCGUGAAAGAUGUUGAAUUUUAUCAAAUACUUUUUCAGUAUCAAUUGAAAUGAUCGUAUCAUUUUUAUCUUUCAUUCUGUUGAUAUGAUGUGUCAUGUUAAUCGAUUUGUGUAUGUUGUACCAUCCUUGCAUCCCAGAGAUAAAUCCCACUUAGUCAUGAUGAAUUAUCUUUCUAAUAUAUUGUUGGAUUUGGCUUGUUAGUAUUUUGUUGAGUAUUUUUGCAUCAAUAUUCAUCAGAGAUAUUGGUCUGUAGUUUUCAUUUUUCAUGUGUCUUUGUCUGGUUUUGGUAUCAGGGAAAUACUGGCCUCAUAGAAUGAGUUUGGAAGUAUUUCUUCCUCCUCAUUUUUUCAGAAUAGUUUGAGUGAGAUUGGUAUUAGUUCUUCUCUCGAUGCUUGAUAGAAUUGAGUAGUGAAGCCAUUGGGUCUUGGGCUUUUCUUUACCAGAAGACUUUUUAUUAUGACUUUGAUCUUACUAUUUUUAUUGGUCUUUUCAGAUUUUGGAUUUCUUCAUAGUUCAAUCUUGGAACAUUAUAUGUGUCUAGGAAUUUGUUCAUGUUCUCGGGUUUUCUAAUUUAUUGGCAUAUAGUUGCUCAUAGUAGCCUCUAAUGAUCCUUUUAAUUUCUGCAGUAUCAGUUGUAAUGCUCUUUUUCAUUUCUGAUUUUAUUAAUUUGUGUCUCCUUUUUUCUUCUUAGUCUGGCUAAAGGUUUGUAAAUUUUGUUUAACUUUUCAAAAAACCAUUUUGUUUCAUUGAUCUUUUGUAUUUUCUCUAUUUCAAUUUCAUUUAUUUCUGCUCUUUAUUAUUUCUUUUCUUCUACUAAUUUUGGGUGAGGUUUGCUCUUGCUUUUCUAGUUCUUUAAGAUGCAUUGUUAGAUUGUUUAUUUGAAGUUUUCCCCUUUUUGAUGUAGGCACUUAUAGCUAUAAACUUCACUCUUAGUACUGCCUUUGUUGUAUCCUAUAAGUUUUGGUAUGUUGUGUUUCCAUUAUCACUUGUUUCAAGAAAUUUUUCAAUUUCCUUUUUAAUUUCUUCAUCAACCCACUGGUCAUUCUGGAGCAUAUUGUUUAAUUUCCAUGUAUUUGUAUAGUUUUCAAGGUUCUUGUUAUUAAUUUCUAGUUUUAUUCCAUUGUGAUCAGAGAAGAUGCUUGAUAUUAUUUCAUUUUUUUUGAAUGUUUUAAGACUCGUUUUGUUACCUAAAAUAUGGUAUAUCCUUGAGAUUUAUUCAUGUAUUGAGGAGAAGCAUGUGUAUUCUGCAGCCGAGGGAUGAAAUGUUCUAUAAUUAUCUGUAAGUCCACUUGGUCAAUAGUGCAGAUUAGGUCUGAUGUUUCUUUGUUGAUUUUCUGUCUGAAAGAUAUGUCCAAUGCUGAAUAUUGGGUGUUCAAGUCUCCAGCUAUUAUUGUAUUAGGGUCUAUCCCUCGCCUUAGCUCUAAUAAUAUUUGGUUUAUACAUCUGGGUGCUCAAGGCAUGCAGAUUUAAAAUUGUUAUAUCCUCUUGCUGAAUUGACCUCUUUAUCAUUAUAGAAUGACCUUCCUUGUGUCUUCUGAUAGUUUUUGUCUUGUAAUAUAUUUUGUAUGAUAUAAGUAUAGCUACUCAUGCUCUUUUUGGGUUUCCAUUGGAAUGGAAUAUCUUUUUCCAUCCCUUUAUUUGUAGUCUAUAUGUGUCUUUAUAGUUGAAUUGUGUUUCUUGUAGGCAACAGAUUAAUGAAUAUUGUUUUUUCAUCCACUCAGCCAUUCUCUUUUAAUUGGAGAGUUUAGUCCAUUUACAUUCAAUGUUAUUAUUGAUAAGUAAGAGCUUACUCUGGCCAUUUUGUUAUUUGUUUUCUGGUCUUCUCCUCCUUCUUUCUUUCCUCCUGUCUUCCCUUAGUGAAGGUAGUUUUUUCUGGUGAUAUGAUUUAGUUUCUUGCUUUUUAUUUUUUGUGUAUUCAUUGUAUGUUUUUUGUUUGAGAUCACCGUGAAGCUUGCAAAUACCAUCUUUUAAACCAUUAUUUCAAUCGAUAACUACUUAACACUGUGUGUAUAAACAAACAAAGAAGCAAAAACAAAGCUAAUAAAAAGUAUAUGCCUUAACUUCAUCCUUCAACUUUUUAACUUUUUCCUGUUUCUAUGUAUAUCUUAUUGUACUAUGUCAUGAAAAGUUAUUGUUAUUUGUGA